GUUAAAAAGCUCGUAGUUGGAGUUCUGCCAGGUGCCGCCUGUCCGCCCCAGUGGUGAGUACGUGGCGCGCAUUUGGCCCUUUCAAGGGGAGCGUAUCUGCACUUAACUGUGUGGUGCGGGAUCCUUGACUUUUACUUUGAGGAAAUAAGAGUGUUCCAAGCAGGCUCUCGUCGUGCAUAGCUCAGCAUGGAAUAAUAGCAUUGGACCUCGAUUCUAAGCUGUUGGUUGCCAGAAACGAGGUAAUGAUGAAGAGGGAUAGUUGGGGGCAUUCGUAUUUAACUGUCAGAGGUGAAAUUCUUGGAUUUGUUAAAGACGAACUACUGCGAAAGCAUCUGCCAUGGAUGUUUUCAUUGAUCAAGAACGAAAGUUAGGGGAUCGAAGACGAUCAGAUACCGUCCUAGUCUUAACUAUAAACCAUGCCGGCUAGAGAUCGGAGGUUGUUCGUUUUGUGACGCCUUCAGCAUCUUGAGAGAAAUCAAAGCCUUUGGGUUCCGGGGGGAGUAUGGUCGCAAGGCUGAAACUUAAAGGAAUUGACGGAAGGGCACCACCAGGAGUGGAGCCUGCGGCUUAAUUUGACUCAACACGGGGAAACUCACCAGGUCCAGACUGAGUAAGGAUGUACAGAUUGACAGCUCUUUACAGAUUCUCAGGGUGGUGGUGCAUGGCCGUUCUUAGUUGGUGGAGUGAUUUGUCUGGUUAAUUCCGUUAA
RNAcentral lists this ribosomal RNA (709 nucleotides) under uncultured marine alveolate. RNAcentral's name for it is "SSU rRNA". It matches the Rfam family "Eukaryotic small subunit ribosomal RNA", at positions 618 to 1331 of the family's 1831-position model. The record is from RNAcentral.